This 253-nucleotide ribosomal RNA is filed under the name uncultured bacterium. RNAcentral's name for it is "partial 16S ribosomal RNA". It matches the Rfam family "Bacterial small subunit ribosomal RNA", at positions 524 to 776 of the family's 1533-position model. The record is from RNAcentral.
UACGUAGGGUGCAAGCGUUAAUCGGAAUUACUGGGCGUAAAGCGUGCGCAGGCGGUGAUGUAAGACAGUUGUGAAAUCCCCGGGCUCAACCUGGGAAUGGCAUUUGGGACUGCAAGGCUCGAGUGCGGCAGAGGAGACUGGAAUUCCUGGUGUAGCAGUGAAAUGCGUAGAUAUCAGGAGGAAUACCGAUGGCGAAGGCAGGUCUCUGGGCUGACACUGACGCUCAUGCACGAAAGCGUGGGGAGCAAACAGG